GGGAAUAGAUGAGUGCUGGUGUGCUUCCUGGUCUUCAAAACCAGUGUGGGGCGUUCGAAGCGUCCCGGGUGGGUUCGAUUCCCACAUAUUCCCGCCA
RNAcentral lists this transfer RNA (97 nucleotides) under Bacillota bacterium. Its description in RNAcentral is "tRNA-Sec". It matches the Rfam family "Selenocysteine transfer RNA". Lineage: Bacteria; Bacillati; Bacillota. RNAcentral also lists the same sequence under 2 other names. The record is from RNAcentral.